Molecule: ribosomal RNA, 253 nt
Filed under: uncultured Variovorax sp.
Lineage: Bacteria; Pseudomonadati; Pseudomonadota; Betaproteobacteria; Burkholderiales; Comamonadaceae
Description: partial 16S ribosomal RNA
Rfam family: Bacterial small subunit ribosomal RNA
Source: RNAcentral
UACGUAGGGUGCGAGCGUUAAUCGGAAUUACUGGGCGUAAAGCGUGCGCAGGCGGUUAUGUAAGACAGUUGUGAAAUCCCCGGGCUCAACCUGGGAAUUGCAUCUGUGACUGCAUAGCUAGAGUACGGUAGAGGGGGAUGGAAUUCCGCGUGUAGCAGUGAAAUGCGUAGAUAUGCGGAGGAACACCGAUGGCGAAGGCAAUCCCCUGGGCCUGCACUGACGCUCAUGCACGAAAGCGUGGGGAGCAAACAGG